CGGGGGGCAGCAGUAAGGAAUAUUGGUCAAUGGACGCAAGUCUGAACCAGCCAUGCCGCGUGAAGGAUGAAGGCCCUCUGGGUUGUAAACUUCUUUUAUCUGGGACGAAAAAAGGGGAUUCUUCCUCACUUGACGGUACCAGAGGAAUAAGCACCGGCUAACUCCGUGCCAGCAGCCGCGGUAAUACGGAGGGUGCAAGCGUUAUCCGGAUUCACUGGGUUUAAAGGGUGCGUAGGUGGGCAGGUAAGUCAGUGGUGAAAUCUUCGAGCUUAACUCGGAAACUGCCAUUGAUACUAUCUGUCUUGAAUAUCCUGGAGGUGAGCGGAAUAUGUCAUGUAGCGGUGAAAUGCUUAGAUAUGACAUAGAACACCAAUUGCGAAGGCAGCUCACUACGGGAUGAUUGACGCUGAGGCACGAAAGCGUGGGGAUCAAACAGGAUUAGAUACCCGAGU
RNAcentral lists this ribosomal RNA (452 nucleotides) under uncultured Chitinophagaceae bacterium. RNAcentral describes it as "bacterial SSU rRNA". It matches the Rfam family "Bacterial small subunit ribosomal RNA", at positions 342 to 791 of the family's 1533-position model. The record is from RNAcentral. Lineage: Bacteria; Pseudomonadati; Bacteroidota; Chitinophagia; Chitinophagales; Chitinophagaceae.